Molecule: non-coding RNA, 26 nt
Filed under: Homo sapiens (human)
Lineage: Eukaryota; Metazoa; Chordata; Mammalia; Primates; Hominidae
Source: RNAcentral
AGGCAACAAAGAGCAUGAUGAAAGCA